CUGAGGCCUUCUUUUAGGGAAAUUAUAGCAGCUGAAUGUGAAGAAAGUUUCCAAGUUUUCUUCGAAUUCCAUGCAGGAUUUUGAUUAUUUCACUGUGGACAUGGAGAAAGGAAUGAAAGGAAUUCAUUCAACAUUCAUGGAGGAAGAGAAUACAAAAUGGAUGUGUCAUAUGUCAGUAAUAAGGAAUGGAAAAAUGAUGGUAAGAACAAUCUCUUUUUAUAGAAUUUUUUUUUUAGAAUUGCUUUUUUUUAU
This 252-nucleotide long non-coding RNA is filed under the name Mustela putorius furo (domestic ferret). RNAcentral describes it as "lncRNA (ENSMPUG00000030080.1)". Lineage: Eukaryota; Metazoa; Chordata; Mammalia; Carnivora; Mustelidae. The record is from RNAcentral.